RNAcentral lists this ribosomal RNA (332 nucleotides) under uncultured eukaryote. Its description in RNAcentral is "partial 18S ribosomal RNA". It matches the Rfam family "Eukaryotic small subunit ribosomal RNA", at positions 1470 to 1796 of the family's 1831-position model. The record is from RNAcentral.
CCCUUAGAUGUUCUGGGCUGCACACGUGCUACACUGGCAGGUUCAGCGAGCUUCAUGCCCUGAUCUGAAAGGAAUGGGAAAUCUUUUCAAAACCUGCCGUGCUUGGGAUAGAUGUUUGCAAUUAUUCAUCUUCAACGAGGAUUGCCUUGUAAGCGCACGUCAUCAGCGUGCAUUGAAUACGACCCUGUAUUCUGUACACACCGCCCGUCGCUCCUACCGAUUGAAGUUUUUGGUGAGUUGACAGGAGGAUUUUUUUGAAACUGGUUCGCCAGUGGAUUUUAGAUCCAAAUGCCAACGAAUCGAUGGCUUUAGAGGAAGGAGAAGUCGUAACA